GUAACCCUCAAAUCAACCCUCUCAAGUGCACAGAGAAGUGAAAAGUUUGUGUCUUCAGAGCACAUGCCCCCAGCUGCAUGAGGUGAAAGUUUGUCUUCAGAGCACAUGCUUCCAGCUGAAUGAGGCGAAAGUUUGUCUUCAGAGCACAUGCUCCAAGAUGAAUGAGGUGAAAGUUUGUCUUCAGAGCACAUGCUUCCAGCUGAAUGAGUGAAAGUUUGUCUUCAGAGCACAUGCUUCCAGCUGAAUGAGGCGAAAGUUUGUCUUCAGAGCACAUGCUCCAAGAUGAAUGAGGUGAAAGUUUGUCUUCAGAGCACAUGCUUCCAGCUGAAUGAGUGAAAGUUUGUCUUCAGAGCACAUGCUUCCAGCUGAAUGAGUGAAAGUUUGUCUUCAGUGCACAUGCUCCCAGCUGAAUGAGGCGAAAGUUUGUCUUCAGUGCACAUGCUCCCAGAUGAAUGAGUGAAAGUUUGUCUUCAGAGCACAUGCUUCCAGCUGAAUGAGGUGAAAGUUUGUCUUCAGUGCACAUGCUUCCAGCUGAAUGAGUGAAAGUUUGUCUUCAGUGCACAUGCUCCAAGAUGAAUGAGGUGAAAGUUUGUCUUCAGUGCACAUGCUCCCAGAUGAAUGAGGCGAAAGUUUGUCUUCAGAGCACAUGCUUCCAGCUGAAUGAGUGAAAGUUUGUCUUCAGUGCACAUGCUUCCAGCUGAAUGAGUGAAAGUUUGUCUUCAGAGCACAUGCUUCCAGCUGAAUGAGUGAAAGUUUGUCUUCAGAGCACAUGCUUCCAGCUGAAUGAGUGAAAGUUUGUCUUCAGUGCACAUGCUCCCAGAUGAAUGAGGCGAAAGUUUGUCUUCAGUGCACAUGCUUCCAGCUGAAUGAGUGAAAGUUUGUCUUCAGAGCACAUGCUCCCAGCUGAAUGAGUGAAAGUUUGUCUUCAGUGCACAUGCUCCCAGAUGAAUGAGGCGAAAGUUUGUCUUCAGUGCACAUGCUCCCAGCUGAAUGAGUGAAAGUUUGUCUUCAGUGCACAUGCUCCCAGCUGAAUGAGUGAAAGUUUGUCUUCAGUGCACAUGCUCCCAGCUGAAUGAGGGGAAAGUUUGUCUUCAGAGCACAUGCUUCCAGCUGAAUGAGUGAAAGUUUGUCUUCAGAGCACAUGCUUCCAGCUGAAUGAGUGAAAGUUUGUCUUCAGAGCACAUGCUUCCAGCUGAAUGAGUGAGUUUGUCUUCAGAGCACAUGCUUCCAGCUGAAUGAGUGAAAGUUUGUCUUCAGAGCACAUGCUUCCAGCUGAAUGAGUGAAAGUUUGUCUUCAGAGCACAUGCUCCCAGCUGAAUGAGUGAAAGUUUGUCUUCAGUGCACAUGCUCCCAGAUGAAUGAGGCGAAAGUUUGUCUUCAGUGCACAUGCUUCCAGCUGAAUGAGUGAAAGUUUGUCUUCAGAGCACAUGCUCCCAGCUGAAUGAGUGAAAGUUUGUCUUCAGUGCACAUGUUCCCAGAUGAAUGAGGCGAAAGUUUGUCUUCAGAGCACAUGCUCCCAGCUGAAUGAGUGAAAGUUUGUCUUCAGUGCACAUGCUUCCAGCUGAAUGAGUGAAAGUUUGUCUUCAGUGCACAUGCUCCCAGCUGAAUGAGGGGAAAGUUUGUCUUCAGAGCACAUGCUUCCAGCUGAAUGAGUGAAAGUUUAUCUCCAGUGCACAUGCUCCAAGAUGAAUGAGGUGAAAGUUUGUCUUCAGUGCACAUGCUUCCAGUUGAAUGAGUGAAAGUUUGUCUUCAGAGCACAUGCUUCCAGCUGAAUGAGUGAAAGUUUGUCUUCAGUGCACAUGCUCCCAGCUGAAUGAGGCGAAAGUUUGUCUUCAGUGCACAUGCUCCCAGCUGAAUGAGGUGAUGCUCGGCCUUCUGGUUUUAACUCAUACUGUAAGCAACUGUUUUCUUUUCACAGUUUAUUUUUUAUUUUUUAUUUUAUUUUA
RNAcentral lists this long non-coding RNA (1946 nucleotides) under Homo sapiens (human). RNAcentral's name for it is "HSALNT0117393". Lineage: Eukaryota; Metazoa; Chordata; Mammalia; Primates; Hominidae. The record is from RNAcentral.